GAUGAACGCUAGCGGCAGGCCUAAUACAUGCAAGUCGAACGGGAUUAAGAGGCUUGCUUCUUAUGAGAGUGGCGCACGGGUGCGUAACACGUAUGCAACCUACCUUCAACUGGGGGAAAGCCUUCCGAAAGGGAGAUUAAUACCGCAUAACAUAAUUGAGUGGCAUCACUUGAUUAACAAAAGUCAGGGUUGAAGAUGGGCAUGCGUCCGAUUAGUUGGUUGGGGAGGUAACGGCUCACCAAGACUACGAUCGGUAGGGGAUCUGAGAGGAUGGCCCCCCACACUGGUACUGAGACACGGACCAGACUCCUACGGGAGGCAGCAGUAAGGAAUAUUGGUCAAUGGACGGAAGUCUGAACCAGCCAUGCCGCGUGCAGGAAGACGGUCCUCUGGGUUGUAAACUGCUUUUGUUAGGGAAGAAACUUCCGUACGUGUACGGGACUGACGGUACCUAAAGAAUAAGGAUCGGCUAACUCCGUGCCAGCAGCCGCGGUAA
RNAcentral lists this ribosomal RNA (496 nucleotides) under uncultured bacterium. RNAcentral's name for it is "partial 16S ribosomal RNA". It matches the Rfam family "Bacterial small subunit ribosomal RNA", at positions 28 to 523 of the family's 1533-position model. The record is from RNAcentral.